Vicia villosa (hairy vetch) is the source of this 619-nucleotide long non-coding RNA. RefSeq lists it as uncharacterized. The record is from RefSeq and is a predicted model, not a curated record. The transcript is spliced from 2 exons. NCBI's taxonomy places the organism in Eukaryota, Viridiplantae, Streptophyta, Magnoliopsida, Fabales, Fabaceae.
UGUUUGGAAGGCCACAAACAAAGCAUCAUUUGCCUUCUCCAUUCCAAGCAUUCCUUCUUAUAUAUAAGCCAUUAAAACUCACACCAUUCCAAACAACGUGCUCCUCAAACUUCUCUCUGUGUCUCUCCCUCCAUUUUCCGAGAACCGGUGGCUAGAUUUUCUAAACAUCCAAACGAUCAAAGAUGUUGAAAUCUAGCCUCCUCGUAGCAUCCGUCUCGGCCGCGUCUUCCAUGGUGGUUUCUGUUUCAUCUGCACCUUAUGUUUCUCAUCUGGCUUCGACAAAGAAAUUUACAGCGAGAUCUGAUGUUGUUCGAUUAUUUGAAACAUUGAUUACUGCUCCAAGAUGAAGUGAAUAAUCCUUCUCCUAAGAUUGUUAGGGUGAGACAAAGUGAGAAAGUUUGUAAUUUUAUGGGAAUUGUUGUGACUAUUUGGUAUUUUUUUUAAGAAUUUUUUUUUUGUUUGUGUUUAUUGAGGAUGUUUAAAAAGAAUAUUUAGUUAGUUUUAGAGAAAAAAAGAAUGUACGUGACCACUGUAAAAUAAUUUUACAUUGAUGGUCAGUCAACUACAUGUAUCAAACAAAAUUAUAUUUAAAUUUUAAAACUAAUGUAUGAUUUGCUAA